Molecule: non-coding RNA, 24 nt
Filed under: Arabidopsis thaliana (thale cress)
Lineage: Eukaryota; Viridiplantae; Streptophyta; Magnoliopsida; Brassicales; Brassicaceae
Source: RNAcentral
CAAGUGUCUAGCAGCUUCACUACC